AGGGUUCGAUUUCGGAGAGGGAGCAUGAGAAACGGCUACCACAUCUAAGGAAGGCAGCAGGCGCGUAAAUUACCCAAUCCUGACUCAGGGAGGUAGUGACAGGAAAUAGCAAACCGGGAACCUCAUGGUUUCACGGUAUUGCAAUGAGAACAAUUUAAAACCCUUAGCGAGAAUCAAGUGGAGGACAAGUCUGGUGCCAGCACCCGCGGUAAUUCCAGCUCCACUAGCGUAUAUUAAAGUUGUUGCAGUUAAAAAGCUCGUAGUUGAACCUCUGUCUGGGGCUAGUUUUGGCUUUGGUCAGGCUAGUUCUAGGCAUCCGCCUACAAGACUUAGAGGGCAUUCAGUUGUUCACUAGGAGGAGUAGGCAUUUUACUUUGAAAAAAUUAGAGUGUUUAAGGCAGGCAAUCGCCCGCAUAUAUUAGCAUGGAAUAAUAGAAUAGGACACUUUUCCAUUUCGUUGGUUAUUGGAAUCGUGUAAUGAUUAAUAGGGACAGUUGUGGGCAUUUGUAUUUAAUUGUCAGAGGUGAAAUUCUUGGAUUUAUUAAAGACAAACUAACGCGAAAGCAUUUGCCAAGGAUGUUUUCAUUAAUCAAGAACGAAAGUUAGGGGAUCAAAGACGAUCAGAUACCGUCCUAGUCUUAACUAUAAACUAUUCCGACUCAAUGUUUGACUGGCUUAUAUAACCAGUUGAGCGGUGUAUGAGAAAUCAAAGUCUUUAGGUUCUGGGGGGAGUAUGGUUGCAAAGCUGAAACUUAAAGGAAUUGACGGAAGAGCACAACCAGGAGUGGAUUCUGCGGCUUAAUUUGACUCAACACGGGGAAACUUACCAGGUUAAAACAAUAGUGGGAUUGACAGUUUGAGAGCGCUUUCUUGAUUGGUUGGGUGGUGGUGCAUGGCCGUUCUUAGUUGGUGGAGUGAUUUGUCUGCUUAAUUGCGUUAACGAACGAGACCUUAACCUGCUUACUAGACUGGCGAUCAUCAAUCGUUAGCUCUUCUUAGAGGGACUUUGGUUGUUUUAACUCCAAGGAAGUUUGAGGCAAUAACAGGUCUGUGAUGCCCUUAGAUAUCCUGGGCCGCACGCGUCAUACAAUGACUAGUUCAGAAAGUUUUCUCCUGACCCGAAAGGGGAUGGGUAAUCUUGAUAAUACUAGUCGUGUUAGGGAUCGAUCUUUGCAAUUAUAGAUCUUGAACGAGGAAUUCCUAGUAAGUGCGGUUCAUCAGACCGUACUGAUUACGUCCCUGCUCUUUGUACACACCGCCCGUCGCUUCUACCGAGUGGGUGGUCCGGUGAGAUAAUUGAACUUCGCAGGUAACUGAGAGGAAAGAUUAUCAAACCUAUCCACCUCGAGGAAGAAGAAGUCGUAACAAGGUU
This 1372-nucleotide ribosomal RNA is filed under the name metagenome. RNAcentral describes it as "SSU rRNA". It matches the Rfam family "Eukaryotic small subunit ribosomal RNA", at positions 372 to 1801 of the family's 1831-position model. The record is from RNAcentral.